RNAcentral lists this non-coding RNA (29 nucleotides) under Mus musculus (house mouse). Lineage: Eukaryota; Metazoa; Chordata; Mammalia; Rodentia; Muridae. The record is from RNAcentral.
UGAUAUGUUCUGCUUACCUGGUCCUGUGC